UAGGGAAUCUUCCACAAUGGACGCAAGUCUGAUGGAGCAACGCCGCGUGAGUGAAGAAGGUUUUCGGAUCGUAAAGCUCUGUUGUAAGAGAAGAACGUGUGUGAGAGUGGAAAGUUCACACAGUGACGGUAACUUACCAGAAAGGGACGGCUAACUACGUGGCAG
Molecule: ribosomal RNA, 165 nt
Filed under: uncultured bacterium
Lineage: Bacteria
Description: partial 16S rRNA
Rfam family: Bacterial small subunit ribosomal RNA
Source: RNAcentral